UUUGGAGUGUAGGCCUAGGCAGAGGUCCCUGCGGGCUUCCGCAGUGUUUGUGUCCCUGGGUACUUGAGAUUAGGGAGUGGUGAUGACUCUUAAGGAGCAUGCUGCCUUCAAGCAUCUGUUUAACAAAGCACAUCUUGCACCGCCCUUAAUCCAUUUAACUCUGAGUUGACACAGCACACGUUUCAGAGAGCACGGGAUUGGGGGUAAGGUUAUAGA
RNAcentral lists this long non-coding RNA (216 nucleotides) under Homo sapiens (human). Its description in RNAcentral is "HSALNT0331366". Lineage: Eukaryota; Metazoa; Chordata; Mammalia; Primates; Hominidae. The record is from RNAcentral.